This 643-nucleotide ribosomal RNA is filed under the name uncultured fungus. Its description in RNAcentral is "eukaryotic LSU rRNA". It matches the Rfam family "Eukaryotic large subunit ribosomal RNA", at positions 160 to 649 of the family's 3401-position model. The record is from RNAcentral. Lineage: Eukaryota; Fungi.
CUAUCUAGUGAUAAAUGAGAGUUCAAGUUCCUNGGAAUAGGNCNUCACAGAGGGUGAGAAUCCCGUCUGNACAUUUAUUUAUUACUUAAUUGAGGUNNUCUCGACGAGUCGAGUUGUUUGGGAUUGCAGCUCAAAAUNNGAGGUAAAUUUCUUCUAAGGCUAAAUAUUGGCAAGAGACCGAUAGCGAACAAGUACCGUGAGGGAAAGAUGAAAAGCACCUUGAAAAGGGAGUUAAAUAGUGCGUGAAAUUGUUAAAAGGGAAACGAUUGAAGCCAGUAUUAUUAAUAAUAGCUCAACAAUGAUUAACGGGAAGAUGGUCGCGUUUAGAGUUGUUUAUAUACCUAAAUCGAUUAUUUGAACUUUAUAAUUGUGCAUUCUAUUAUUGAUGAGUCAACAUCAGUUUAAUUUAUUGGACAUUACUUUUAGGAAGGUGGUAUUAAUUUUCGGAUUUUUACUUUAUAGACUUUGAGUAGCACAAUGAAUUAGACUGAGGUGCAUAUGCAAGCUGCAAUUACUUGAUAACAAUAAUUAAUCCCGAUGUUUAGCUCGAUUUGGACAGCUUGCCUGACCAAGUUAGAGGAGAUACGGAUAAAGAUUAUUGAGAGUAAUUUUCAGGAUGUUGACGAAAUGGUUUUAAACGACC